This is an RNA transcript of Daphnia carinata, 2450 nucleotides long. RefSeq lists it as uncharacterized. The transcript has 6 exons. NCBI's taxonomy places the organism in Eukaryota, Metazoa, Arthropoda, Branchiopoda, Diplostraca, Daphniidae. The record is from RefSeq and is a predicted model, not a curated record.
UGGUUGAAGAACGGCUAGGACAGAAUCAGGCUACUUAUUAAACACUGUGUCACGUAGUCUACACCGAAUAGUGCUUUAGUACAUCUGAAAAAAAAAGUGAACGGAGUAUCUUCGAAGAACUCAGAAUGCUUUCUACACAGGCUGACAGCUCUGGGAGUACCGCUACGGCCAACCCAGUACCGCUAUUAGUGCCCAAUAUCCAGGAGUCCAGCCCAACCCAACGAGAAAGAACAGCGGUUGAAUUGGAAGGCGUAGACACACCCUUACUUGAGAAGAAAAAACCAAUUAUCAGUAAUGGUAGUCUUUUCCAAGGUUAUAUUCUAACAAAUGGAAGCCUAAAGCCUCAAUAUUUAGCCGGCGAGCCAAAAGAAAAUGCAAAUAGCUCCACAGAAAAGAAAACGAGAGUAAUUAUUAAAGGGUUCUACAACUACGAUGUUCAAGUAGCCAUCGUAAAGACAUUGCUGGUCCACAGCGACCAGCAGAAUAAAGAAAUUGAACGGGAGUUUCGAAUAUUGAAAGAACUAGAGGUCCAUGAAAAUUUUAUUCGCUAUUUCACUCAGGAAAAAGACUUAUACUAUGUGUACCUUGCAACAGAACUGUGCCUGUGUUCUGUGGCAGAUCUUUUGGAUCCACCCCUCGAAACGAAAAUCCCCAUGAAAGACGAUAUUCUCAAAAUACCAGCGAAAGAAAUCCUACGACAGGCAACGAAUGGACUCAAUUACUUGCAUAAAAACCACUUUAUCCAUCGCAACAUCAAGCCAAAUAAUUUUCUUAUUAAAGAGAUUAAUAAAACAGGUGAAAGCUCUUGCCGAUUUGUGGUAAAAAUAACAGAUUUUCGCCUGUCGAGAAAGUAUGAUCCUCAACAAGAUUUGGCGUCAUCGGGACCUGCUGCAUCAGGAGGAUGGGAAGCACCGGAAAGCAGAGAUACGACAAAAAACCUCAGCAAAAAAUUGGAUGUCUUCAUUCUCGGUUGUUUUUAUUACUAUGUCCUAACCGCAUGGACGAGCGACCAAAAGCCCAGACAUCCAUUCGGCGAUGAAAGUAAUCGUCGGACAAACAUUCAAGAUCCACUUUAUUCAAUAUUGAAAAAUGGCUUUCUGUUCGCUACCAGUGAAAAUAUCAAGGACAUGAAAAAGGCGGAAGACCUUAUAAAUUGGAUGUUGAAGUUCAAGGAGGACGAACGUCCAACAUUAGAAAAUGUUCUUGAUAAUGUUUAUUUCAAACCUUCCGAAGAUUACAAGAUAUAUGCUGAUCAAGGUGCUGAUCAAGAUGUUAAACCCGGUCUUUGUGUUAUCUUUAACCAGCAAGAAUUUGAAGAUCCGAAACAGAACCGUGAAGGGAGCGACAAGGAUGAAGAAGCGUUAAAGAAUACAUUUAAAAAGCUUGGUUUCGAUUUUGAAGUUCACCAAAAUCUAACGUCGGAUGAUUUGAAAUCUGAAAUCAACGAGCUGGCCAACAAAAGAGAUUUCAAGAAUUAUGGUUGCCUAGUUGUGUGCCUUUUGUCUCAUGGAAUUGAGAAUGCAAUCUUAUGUUACGAUGGCAAAUUCGUUAACAUAAAUGAAUUAAAAUACGAGUUCUCUUCGUAUAAGUGCCCCAGUCUGUAUGGCAAACCCAAAAUCUUCAUCGCCCAGGCUUGCCAAGGAAACCUGAUACAACAGGAAAUGGGAAGAGAUGUUCUUUUUUACUCUCCACCGACCUUCAUUUCAAAGCUACUGUCCGUUCCUCGUGUCAUUUACUCGCAUUUAACCGGUACAUUGGAAUUAUCACGAUCCCUAGUUCAAUUGGCAAAGGAGGACAUAACAGCCAGCAAUUACAAAAAGGAGUUACUAGAAAAGAAAAGUCAGGACAGCGCUCAAAGAAAUCCGUCACUUAUGGAUUUCCUUACAAUCAAAUCAACUCUACCUGGUUUCAUUGCCUACCGGGAUCCCGAGGGAGGCAGCUGGUUCGUUCAAGCUCUCUGUGAAGUUCUGUCUGAUGAAUAUUUGGAGAAGGAAGCGGGAACAUCACAAAAGGAUCUUACAGACUUACUUAAAUGUGUUCAGAACGAAAUUAACACAAAUUCACAAGAGGACCUUUGGCAAACUAUGCAAUGGGAAGCAAGCAUAAGUAAAAACAUUCGAUUUCAGAAAGGUGUCACCGAAGGCACUGACAUUACAAUGAAUGAUAGAAAAGAUAUGGGCGCAUUUAACAUCGAACAAUAAUUGUUGAGAGAUGCAAAUUGAUUUUAAUGAGCUCUACGUGUAUCAAAUCUUCUAAAGUUCGUAAAUCGUUUUCUUUGAAAAACAGAAUGUUUGAAGCCAAAAUCAUUAUGAGCAUUUAUGAAACUUCAAAUACAACCAAUAUGAAGGGGGACUUAAAACCUCGUUUCGGCCACCUCCUCUACUAUAAUACCGCCUUUGCCUGAUAAUUGGAGUUUCUAAACUGAAUAAGUGUAAUAAUUUGCAGGGUGG